UACGGAGGGUGCAAGCGUUAUCCGGAUUCACUGGGUUUAAAGGGUGCGUAGGUGGGCUGGUAAGUCAGUGGUGAAAUCUCCAGGCUUAACUUGGAAACUGCCAUUGAUACUAUCAGUCCUGAAUACCGUGGAGGUCAGCGGAAUAUGUCAUGUAGCGGUGAAAUGCUUAGAUAUGACAUAGAACACCAAUUGCGAAGGCAGCUGGCUACGCAUAUAUUGACACUGAGGCUCGAAAGCGUGGGGAUCAAACAGG
RNAcentral lists this ribosomal RNA (253 nucleotides) under uncultured bacterium. RNAcentral describes it as "partial 16S ribosomal RNA". It matches the Rfam family "Bacterial small subunit ribosomal RNA", at positions 524 to 776 of the family's 1533-position model. The record is from RNAcentral.